GACGAACGCUGGCGGCGUGCUUAACACAUGCAAGUCGAGCGGUAAGGCCCUUUCGGGGUACGACGAGCGGCGAACGGGUGAGUAACACGUGGGUGACCUGCCCUCAGCUCUGGGAUAAGCCUGGGAAACCGGGUCUAAUACUGGAUAUGACUCCAUGACGCAUGUUGUGGGGUGGAAAGCCUUGUGCGGCUGAGGAUGGGCCCGCGGCCUAUCAGCUUGUUGGUGGGGUGAGGCCCUACCAAGGCGACGACGGGUAGCCGGCCUGAGAGGG
Molecule: ribosomal RNA, 271 nt
Filed under: uncultured bacterium
Lineage: Bacteria
Description: partial 16S ribosomal RNA
Rfam family: Bacterial small subunit ribosomal RNA
Source: RNAcentral